RNAcentral lists this ribosomal RNA (253 nucleotides) under uncultured bacterium. RNAcentral describes it as "partial 16S ribosomal RNA". It matches the Rfam family "Bacterial small subunit ribosomal RNA", at positions 524 to 776 of the family's 1533-position model. The record is from RNAcentral.
UACGAAGGGGGCUAGCGUUGUUCGGAAUCACUGGGCGUAAAGCGCACGUAGGCGGAUUGUUAAGUCGGGGGUGAAAUCCUGAGGCUCAACCUCAGAACUGCCUCCGAUACUGGCAAUCUCGAGUUCGGAAGAGGUUGGUGGAACAGCUAGUGUAGAGGUGAAAUUCGUAGAUAUUAGCUAGAACACCAGUGGCGAAGGCGGCCAACUGGUCCGACACUGACGCUGAGAUGCGAAAGCGUGGGGAGCGAACAGG